GGGACUAAUAGGUAUGACCAUAACUAUGGUAUAAUUGAAUAGAUUGAAGGUAGAUUUAUAAGAAUGAAUAAAUAUGAAAUUGUUGUGGAAUGCUGUAUGAAUGGAUGAUGGUUUGAUUAUGUGAUAUGUUGACAUUCAAAGUCAAGGAUUAAUUAUGAUUGAAAGUAUUUGAGUAACUAAAUAUGCUAUGUUGCAUACUGUCAAAAAUGUAUAAUUGAGUGAGCUUUUAAGGGUGGCAAGUCGCUUGGAAAGUAGGCUAACUGUUGUCCACACGGGUAUGUGUGUAGGCCGUGUGUGACACAUGGUCUGCCCCAUUUGCGUGAGA
This 325-nucleotide long non-coding RNA is filed under the name Gossypium barbadense (sea-island cotton). RNAcentral describes it as "long non-coding RNA (GBAR_LNC001289)". Lineage: Eukaryota; Viridiplantae; Streptophyta; Magnoliopsida; Malvales; Malvaceae. The record is from RNAcentral.